GUGCUCGCUUUGGCAGCACAUACAAUAAAACCUAAAGAUACAGAGAAGAUUAGCACGGCCCCUGCGCAAGGAUGACAUGGAAAUGCGUGAAGCAUUCCAUAUGAAA
RNAcentral lists this small nuclear RNA (106 nucleotides) under Propithecus coquereli (Coquerel's sifaka). The record is from RNAcentral. Lineage: Eukaryota; Metazoa; Chordata; Mammalia; Primates; Indriidae.